GACGAACGCUGGCGGCGUGCCUAAUACAUGCAAGUUGAGCGCUGAAGGUUGGUACUUGUACCAACUGGAUGAGCAGCGAACGGGUGAGUAACGCGUGGGGAAUCUGCCUUUGAGCGGGGGACAACAUUUGGAAACGAAUGCUAAUACCGCAUAAAAACUUUAAACACAAGUUUUAAGUUUGAAAGAUGCAAUUGCAUCACUCAAAGAUGAUCCCGCGUUGUAUUAGCUAGUUGGUGAGGUAAAGGCUCACCAAGGCGAUGAUACAUAGCCGACCUGAGAGGGUGAUCGGCCACGUUGGGACUGGGACACGGCCCAAACUCCUGCGGGAGGCAGCAGUAGGGAAUCUUCGGCAAUGGACGAAAGUCUGACCGAGCAACGACGCGUGAGAGACGAAGGCUUUAGGAUCGUAAAACUCUGUUGGUAGAGAAGAACGUUGGUGAGAGUGGAAAGCUCAUCAAGUGACGGUACCUACACAGAAAGGGACGGCUAACUACGUG
This 497-nucleotide ribosomal RNA is filed under the name uncultured bacterium. RNAcentral describes it as "partial 16S ribosomal RNA". It matches the Rfam family "Bacterial small subunit ribosomal RNA", at positions 28 to 507 of the family's 1533-position model. The record is from RNAcentral.